UACUAAGCGCCCAAGCUGUCUUUGGAUCAUCAUAUCUCAACACACAAGGAAUUGUUUUUUUAAUAGAAAAAGUAGAAGUGAGAUAUAUGUAUAAUAGGCUGUAUAUAUUUCUAAUUUUCAAAAAAUCAUUCCUGGAUCAUUGAUAACCCGUGUAAAUUGAAACGUGAAAGACCAUGGGUCUGCAGGGCAGGUCGGCAUGGCACCAAGUCGGACGUGGGAUCAAACUUGCUCUCAUCAUGGUUAGAAUCGCAAUCCUUAUGAAUUCAACCCAACUCAUGCUCAACACCUUCUUGUAACUAAUGCUUAUUAGCAACACUCCUC
RNAcentral lists this small RNA (321 nucleotides) under Histoplasma capsulatum. Its description in RNAcentral is "hypothetical RNA". RNAcentral also lists the same sequence under 1 other name. The record is from RNAcentral. Lineage: Eukaryota; Fungi; Ascomycota; Eurotiomycetes; Onygenales; Ajellomycetaceae.